This 468-nucleotide ribosomal RNA is filed under the name uncultured bacterium. RNAcentral describes it as "partial 16S ribosomal RNA". It matches the Rfam family "Bacterial small subunit ribosomal RNA", at positions 28 to 507 of the family's 1533-position model. The record is from RNAcentral.
GACGAACGCUGGCGGCGUGCUUAACACAUGCAAGUCGAACGGAAAGGCCCUGCUUUUGUGGGGUGCUCGAGUGGCGAACGGGGGAGUAACACGUGAGUAACCUGCCCUUGACUUUGGGAUAACUUCAGGAAACUGGGGCUAAUACCGGAUAGGAGCUCCUGCUGCACGUGGGGGGUUGGAAAGUUUCGGCGGUUGGGGAUGGACUCGAGGCUUAUCAGCUUGUUGGUGGGGUAGUGGCGUACCAAGGGUUUGACGGGUAGCCGGCCUGAGAGGGUGACCGGCCACAUUGGGACUGAGAUACGGCCCAGACUCCUACGGGAGGCAGCAGUGGGGAAUAUUGCACAAUGGGCGGAAGCCUGAUGCAGCAACGCCGCGUGCGGGAUGACGGCCUUCGGGUUGUAAACCGCUUUCGCCUGUGACGAAGCGUGAGUGACGGUACUGGGUAAAGAAGCACCGGCUAACUACGUG